Molecule: ribosomal RNA, 253 nt
Filed under: uncultured bacterium
Lineage: Bacteria
Description: partial 16S ribosomal RNA
Rfam family: Bacterial small subunit ribosomal RNA
Source: RNAcentral
UACAGAGGGUGCAAGCGUUGUUCGGAAUUAUUGGGCGUAAAGAGCUCGUAGGCGGCUUGUCGCGUCGGAUGUGAAAGCCCGGGGCUUAACUCCGGGUCUGCAUUCGAUACGGGCAGGCUAGAGUGUGGUAGGGGAGAUCGGAAUUCCUGGUGUAGCGGUGAAAUGCGCAGAUAUCAGGAGGAACACCGGUGGCGAAGGCGGAUCUCUGGGCCAUUACUGACGCUGAGGAGCGAAAGCGUGGGGAGCGAACAGG